GCUAUUCCAAAUUUUGACCUUAAUGUACUUUUUUGGUCCUUUUCGUGAUAUUUGCUAUAUUACAGGGCAAAAAUUAUAUGAUCGGACAUUGUUUUCGAAUAUUUUGCAUGUAUCAAAGCUCUUAUAAACAAGAUAUGGUAUUCCUACAUGGCUGGUGUGACCCACGACAAAUGGAUCAUAAAGUCUUAAAAAA
RNAcentral lists this small RNA (193 nucleotides) under Arabidopsis thaliana (thale cress). Its description in RNAcentral is "ATSL162370". Lineage: Eukaryota; Viridiplantae; Streptophyta; Magnoliopsida; Brassicales; Brassicaceae. The record is from RNAcentral.